GACGAACGCUGGCGGCGUGCCUAAUACAUGCAAGUUGAGCGCUGAAGGUUGGUACUUGUACCAACUGGAUGAGCAGCGAACGGGUGAGUAACGCGUGGGGAAUCUGCCUUUGAGCGGGGGACAACAUUUGGAAACGAAUGCUAAUACCGCAUAAAAACUUUAAACACAAGUUUUAAGUUUGAAAGAUGCAAUUGCAUCACUCAAAGAUGAUCCCGCGUUGUAUUAGCUAGUUGGUGAGGUAAAGGCUCACCGAGGCGAUGAUACAUAGCCGACCUGAGAGGGUGAUCGGCCACACUGGGACUGAGACACGGCCCAAACUCCUACGGGAGGCAGCAGUAGGGAAUCUUCGGCAAUGGACGAAAGUCUGACCGAGCAACGCCGCGUGAGUGAAGAAGGUUUUCGGAUCGUAAAACUCUGUUGGUAGAGAAGAACGUUGGUGAGAGUGGAAAGCUCAUCAAGUGACGGUAACUACCCAGAAAGGGACGGCUAACUACGUG
This 497-nucleotide ribosomal RNA is filed under the name uncultured bacterium. RNAcentral's name for it is "partial 16S ribosomal RNA". It matches the Rfam family "Bacterial small subunit ribosomal RNA", at positions 28 to 507 of the family's 1533-position model. The record is from RNAcentral.